Molecule: ribosomal RNA, 496 nt
Filed under: uncultured bacterium
Lineage: Bacteria
Description: partial 16S ribosomal RNA
Rfam family: Bacterial small subunit ribosomal RNA
Source: RNAcentral
GAUGAACGCUGGCGGCGUGCCUAAUACAUGCAAGUCGAGCGAACAGACGAGGAGCUUGCUCCUUCGACGUUAGCGGCGGACGGGUGAGUAACACGUAGGUAACCUACCUAUAAGACUGGGAUAACUUCGGGAAACCGGAGCUAAUACCGGAUAAUAUUUCGAACCGCAUGGUUCGAUAGUGAAGGAUGGCUUUGCUAUCACUUAUAGAUGGACCUGCGCCGUAUUAGCUAGUUGGUAAGGUAACGGCUUACCAAGGCAACGAUACGUAGCCGACCUGAGAGGGUGAUCGGCCACACUGGAACUGAGACACGGUCCAGACUCCUACGGGAGGCAGCAGUAGGGAAUCUUCCGCAAUGGGCGAAAGCCUGACGGAGCAACGCCGCGUGAGUGAUGAAGGUCUUCGGAUCGUAAAACUCUGUUAUUAGGGAAGAACAAACGUGUAAGUAACUGUGCACGUCUUGACGGUACCUAAUCAGAAAGCCACGGCUAACUACGU